GCCGAGCGGCGGCAGGAGCGGCCCUGACUCCAUCCGGGUCCCUGCGCGACUCCGGGUCACCCUGCGGCAGGGAACACUGCUCCUGUUCAGAACGUGUUUAGGAAUCCUGCAGCAGAAUGCCCCAACCUCACCCCGGGGUCACACUCAAUGCCUGACCCUUCCCGACCUCCUCCCAACCUCUCAGAGCAGUUACCUGUGCAGACAUACAGCCCUGGCUAGAGCUGUGUCCCCACUGGAUUGCCGUGACUCAGCACGCUCCAUUGUGUUUCAGCAAUCCUGAAACGUGGCCAAGAAGUUCCUUCCAAAUAUUACCUUGCUAAAGGAAAAAUAUCUGCUGUAUUGCUUCUCCUGCACAUCUCAUCCCAUGACCACAAGCUGUUCAUUUCAAGGAGGAGCAAUGCAAGAGUUUCCUCUCAACUUCUUGUAAAAUAUACAAAAAUUAAAUUUUCCUCCCUAGUUUCCACCUACUCCUAUCCCAUUUCUGGACCUACAGGUAGCACAGCUGUACACAGAGCUUUCUGCCUCCUCUGCCAAAUUGUGUCCCUGCUGACUCACAAAGGGAUAUCCUGGGGAUUUUAACUCUCCAUUUACACUCAGCUGUGACAGCACCCACAACUCAAACACUGAAUAGUGUUUGCUAGUUUUAGGGAGGCUUGUGGCAAUGCCAGUGUUCAGGAACUCAUUUCCAAAAAUAAAAAUUCAGAAGUCCAAAGUGCUGGUCAGCAGAGCUGAUACUGAACCUGGUGUUUCACCCUGUUGGAUUCUGGUUGUCCUUCUCCAGUCCAAACAGAGUUUACUCCAUCAAAAUUGGCAACAGGGAAUAAUCAAAUGCUGCUCUUUGGUUCAGUACAAAUUUUGUGACUGGAUGAGUACCACAGCUCUGCUGGACAGACAAAAACUGUGACUGGCCAUACAAACUGCCACCUUUCUU
Molecule: long non-coding RNA, 931 nt
Organism: Calypte anna (Anna's hummingbird)
Lineage: Eukaryota; Metazoa; Chordata; Aves; Apodiformes; Trochilidae
Exons: 4
Source: RefSeq, a predicted model, not a curated record